This 839-nucleotide ribosomal RNA is filed under the name uncultured Bacillus sp. Its description in RNAcentral is "bacterial SSU rRNA". It matches the Rfam family "Bacterial small subunit ribosomal RNA", at positions 372 to 1204 of the family's 1533-position model. The record is from RNAcentral. Lineage: Bacteria; Bacillati; Bacillota; Bacilli; Caryophanales; Bacillaceae.
UGGACGAAGUCUGACGGAGCACGCCGCGUGAGUGAUGAAGGUUUUCGGAUCGUAAAGCUCUGUUGUUAGGGAAGAACAAGUGCAAGAGUAACUGCUUGCACCUUGACGGUACCUAACCAGAAAGCCACGGCUAACUACGUGCCAGCAGCCGCGGUAAUACGUAGGUGGCAAGCGUUGUCCGGAAUUAUUGGGCGUAAAGGGCUCGCAGGCGGUUUCUUAAGUCUGAUGUGAAAGCCCCCGGCUCAACCGGGGAGGGUCAUUGGAAACUGGGAAACUUGAGUGCAGAAGAGGAGAGUGGAAUUCCACGUGUAGCGGUGAAAUGCGUAGAGAUGUGGAGGAACACCAGUGGCGAAGGCGACUCUCUGGUCUGUAACUGACGCUGAGGAGCGAAAGCGUGGGGAGCGAACAGGAUUAGAUACCCUGGUAGUCCACGCCGUAAACGAUGAGUGCUAAGUGUUAGGGGGUUUCCGCCCCUUAGUGCUGCAGCUAACGCAUUAAGCACUCCGCCUGGGGAGUACGGUCGCAAGACUGAAACUCAAAGGAAUUGACGGGGGCCCGCACAAGCGGUGGAGCAUGUGGUUUAAUUCGAAGCAACGCGAAGAACCUUACCAGGUCUUGACAUCCUCUGACAACCCUAGAGAUAGGGCUUUCCCUUCGGGGACAGAGUGACAGGUGGUGCAUGGUUGUCGUCAGCUCGUGUCGUGAGAUGUUGGGUUAAGUCCCGCAACGAGCGCAACCCUUGAUCUUAGUUGCCAGCAUUCAGUUGGGCACUCUAAGGUGACUGCCGGUGACAAACCGGAGGAAGGGUGGGGGAUGACGUCAAAUCAUCAUGCCCCUUA